RNAcentral lists this ribosomal RNA (492 nucleotides) under uncultured bacterium. RNAcentral's name for it is "partial 16S ribosomal RNA". It matches the Rfam family "Bacterial small subunit ribosomal RNA", at positions 29 to 507 of the family's 1533-position model. The record is from RNAcentral.
AGUGAACGCUGGCGGUAGGCCUAACACAUGCAAGUCGAACGGCAGCACAGUAAGAGCUUGCUCUUACGGGUGGCGAGUGGCGGACGGGUGAGGAAUACAUCGGAAUCUACUUUUUCGUGGGGGAUAACGUAGGGAAACUUACGCUCAUACCGCAUACGACCUACGGUUGAAAGCAGGGGAUCUUCGGACCUUGCGCGAUUGAAUGAGCCGAUGUCGGAUUAGCUAGUUGGCGGGGUAAAGGCCCACCAAGGCGACGAUCCGUAGCUGGUCUGAGAGGAUGAUCAGCCACACUGGAACUGAGACACGGUCCAGACUCCUAAGGGAGGCAGCAGUGGGGAAUAUUGGACAGUGGGCGCAAGCCUGAUCCAGCCAUACCGCGUGGGUGAAGAAGGCCUUCGGGUUGUAAAGCCCUUUUGUUGGGAAAGAAAAGCAGCAGGUUAAUACCCCGCUGUUCUGACGGUACCCAAAGAAUAAGCACCGGCUAACUUCGUG